Molecule: ribosomal RNA, 253 nt
Filed under: uncultured bacterium
Lineage: Bacteria
Description: partial 16S ribosomal RNA
Rfam family: Bacterial small subunit ribosomal RNA
Source: RNAcentral
UACAGGGGGGGCAAGUAUUAUUCUACAUGACUGGGCGUAAAGGAUGUCUAGGUGGUUUUUCAAAUUUUUAAAGAAAUCCUAUAUAAAAAUUAUAGAUAUUUUAAAAAUACUAAAAAACUUGAGUUUAUAGAAGAUAAUAGAACUAUCGACAGUAAAUGUGGAAAGUUUAGAGACUCAUAGGACUUCCAAAUAGCGAAAGCAAUUAUCUUGUUAAAACUGACACUAAAGCAUGAAGGCGUGGGGACCAAACAGG